RNAcentral lists this small RNA (1071 nucleotides) under Pongo abelii (Sumatran orangutan). Its description in RNAcentral is "retained intron". The record is from RNAcentral. Lineage: Eukaryota; Metazoa; Chordata; Mammalia; Primates; Hominidae.
CAGCAGCAACAGCAGCAGCAGCUUCCUUCCUCAGACUCCCCUCGAGAGGCUGACCAAGCUGGUGUAGCCGUUGGGGGAGGCUCCCGCCGGGGGAACCCGGCGAGGACAAGAGCAGGGCGGCCGCCUUCCACUCGGGCUGUCCGGCGGCGGCUGCCUCCGCCCGCGUGUCCGUCAAGGGUGCCGCGGGAUGUGUGUCAGUUUAAGCCUCUGAGAUCACACAGCUGCCUGGGGGCCGUGUGAUGCCCAAGGCAAGUCUUGGCUUUAAUUAUUAUUAUUAUCAUUAUUGUUACGCUUGGCUUUCGGGAAAUACUCGUGAUAUUGUAGGAUAAAGGAAAUGACACUUUGAGGAACUGGAGAGAACAUAUAUGCGUUUUGUUUUUGAGAGGAAAACCGUGUUCUCUUCCCGGCUUGUUCCCUCUUUGCUGAUUUCAGGAGCUACUCUCCUCCUGGUGAGGUGGAAAUUCCAGCAAGAAUAAAGGUGAAGACAAGCCACCAGGACUCAGGAGGGAAACGCUGACCAUUAGAAACCUCUGCAUAAGACGUUGUAAGGAGGAAAAUAAGAGAGAGAAAAACACAAAGAUUUAAACAAGAAACCUACGAACCCAGCUCUGGAGAGAGCCACCUUCUCCAGAAUGGAUAUGUUUCGUCUCGCCUGGGUUUUCUUAGCCCUCUACUUUUCAAGACACCAAGUGAGAGGCCAACCAGACCCACCGUGCGGAGGUCGUUUGAAUUCCAAAGAUGCUGGCUAUAUCACCUCUCCCGGUUACCCCCAGGACUACCCCUCCCACCAGAACUGCGAGUGGAUUGUUUACGCCCCCGAACCCAACCAGAAGAUUGUCCUCAACUUCAACCCUCACUUUGAAAUCGAGAAGCACGACUGCAAGUAAGCACCGUCCUGUCCCACUGGGUAUCCCAUCCAUGAGAUGCACACGCUCUGCCCUCACCCCUGCUCUCGUCACUUCUAUCACCCCUCACCCCAAGACCUGCUGCUAACCACUGGUGGAUCCUGGCCCCAGAGGAAAACCUCAAGGGGCAUUCCCUUUUCAGGGAAAGAAAGGUGUGGCUGAUCCC